This 216-nucleotide long non-coding RNA is filed under the name Setaria italica (foxtail millet). Its description in RNAcentral is "long non-coding RNA (SITA_LNC003708)". Lineage: Eukaryota; Viridiplantae; Streptophyta; Magnoliopsida; Poales; Poaceae. The record is from RNAcentral.
UCCCACCUAUUCUGUUUAUGUGAGAACACAUUCAGACGGAGAAGUAUUUGGCUAUUUGAGGAUUAUUAUAGUAAUCAGGCAACAGAAUUAAACAUCGUACGUACCAGUAUGUCGGAUGCUAUAGAAUUUUUCACAUUUUCAUGUAUGUCUUUCCAUUUGUUGACUCCAAUAAGUGGAGCCCUUUUCCUUGUAAACAUUACAAUUUCAUCCACAAAU